GACGAACGCUGGCGGCGUGCUUAACACAUGCAAGUCGAACGGAAAGGCCCUGCUUGCAGGGUACUCGAGUGGCGAACGGGUGAGUAACACGUGGGUGAUCUGCCCUGCACUUCGGGAUAAGCCUGGGAAACUGGGUCUAAUACCGGAUAGGAGCCAUUUUUAGUGUGAUUGUUGGAAAGUUUUUUCGGUGUAGGAUGAGCUCGCGGCCUAUCAGCUUGUUUGUGGGGUAAUGGCCUACCAAGGCGGCGACGGGUAGCCGGCCUGAGCGGGUGGACGGCCACAUUAGGACUGAGCUACGGCCCAGACUCAUACCGGAGGCAGCAGUGGGGAAUAUUGCACAAUGGGAGCAAGCCUGAUGCAGCGACGCCGCGUGGGGUAUGACGGCCUUCGGGUUGUAAACUCCUUUCGCUAGGGACGAAGCUUUUUGUGACGGUACCUAGAUAAGAAGCACCGGCUAACUACGUG
RNAcentral lists this ribosomal RNA (465 nucleotides) under uncultured bacterium. RNAcentral describes it as "partial 16S ribosomal RNA". It matches the Rfam family "Bacterial small subunit ribosomal RNA", at positions 28 to 507 of the family's 1533-position model. The record is from RNAcentral.